Molecule: ribosomal RNA, 498 nt
Filed under: uncultured bacterium
Lineage: Bacteria
Description: partial 16S ribosomal RNA
Rfam family: Bacterial small subunit ribosomal RNA
Source: RNAcentral
AUUGAACGCUGGCGGCAUGCCUUACACAUGCAAGUCGAACGGUAACGCGGGGCAACCUGGCGACGAGUGGCGAACGGGUGAGUAAUGCAUCGGAACGUGCCCAGUAGUGGGGGAUAGCCCGGCGAAAGCCGGAUUAAUACCGCAUACGACCUACGGGUGAAAGGGGGGGAUCGCAAGACCUCUCGCUAUUGGAGCGGCCGAUGUCAGAUUAGCUAGUUGGUGGGGUAAAAGCCUACCAAGGCGACGAUCUGUAGCUGGUCUGAGAGGACGACCGGCCACACUGGGACUGAGACACGGCCCAGACUCCUACGGGAGGCAGCAGUGGGGAAUUUUGGACAAUGGGCGAAAGCCUGAUCCAGCCAUGCCGCGUGCGGGAAGAAGGCCUUCGGGUUGUAAACCGCUUUUGUCAGGGAAGAAAUCUUCUGAGUUAAUACCUCGGGAGGAUGACGGUACCUGAAGAAUAAGCACCGGCUAACUACGUGCCAGCCGCCGCAGUAA